GCCUGGGUGGCUCAGUCGGUUGAGCAUCUGACUUCGGCUCAGGUCACGAUCUCGCGGUCCGUGAGUUUGAGCCCCGCGUCGGGCU
Molecule: transfer RNA, 85 nt
Filed under: Felis catus (domestic cat)
Lineage: Eukaryota; Metazoa; Chordata; Mammalia; Carnivora; Felidae
Rfam family: tRNA
About the family: Transfer RNA (tRNA) molecules are approximately 80 nucleotides in length. Their secondary structure includes four short double-helical elements and three loops (D, anti-codon, and T loops). Further hydrogen bonds mediate the characteristic L-shaped molecular structure. tRNAs have two regions of fundamental functional importance: the anti-codon, which is responsible for specific mRNA codon recognition, and the 3' end, to which the tRNAs corresponding amino acid is attached (by aminoacyl-tRNA synthetases). tRNAs cope with the degeneracy of the genetic code in two manners: having more than one tRNA (with a specific anti-codon) for a particular amino acid; and 'wobble' base-pairing, i.e. permitting non-standard base-pairing at the 3rd anti-codon position.
Source: Rfam by way of RNAcentral